AUGAACGCUAGCGACAGGCCUAACACAUGCAAGUCAGGGGCAGCACAAGGAGCAAUCUGAGGUGGCGACCGGCGCACGGGUGAGUAACACGUAUGCAACCUGCCUGUAAGCGGGGAAGUAACCCGUUGAAAGACGGACUAAUACCGCAUAAUACUAAAUUACUGCAUGGUAAUUUAUUUAAACAUUUUAUGGCUUACAGAUGGGCAUGCGCAUGAUUAGCUAGUUGGAGAGGUAACGGCUCCCCAAGGCAACGAUCAUUAGGGGUUCUGAGAGGAAGGUCCCCCACACUGGUACUGAGACACGGACCAGACUCCUACGGGAGGCAGCAGUGAGGAAUAUUGGUCAAUGGACGAGAGUCUGAACCAGCCAAGUCGCGUGCAGGAAGAAUGUUCCCUAUGGAUUGUAAACUGUCUUUUGCAGGGGAAUAAAGUGCAUCACGUGUGAUGUUUUGUAUGUACUCUGCGAAUAAGGAUCGGCUAACUCCGUGCCAGCCGCCGC
Molecule: ribosomal RNA, 498 nt
Filed under: uncultured bacterium
Lineage: Bacteria
Description: bacterial SSU rRNA
Rfam family: Bacterial small subunit ribosomal RNA
Source: RNAcentral